Non-coding RNA from Cinara cedri, 246 nucleotides. The record is from the annotation of a GenBank genome assembly. NCBI's taxonomy places the organism in Eukaryota, Metazoa, Arthropoda, Insecta, Hemiptera, Aphididae.
CAUGGCGGCGGCUAUCGUACGGUUCGACUGUAGCUUCGCAUACGACAUUCGAUCGGUCGGUCGGCGAGCCGGUCGGUAAGACGAUUUGGCAGUGUACUUUAUCGAGUUUAUAACACAAUACGCCGGGGUUGAUUUCCCUCCGGUUUUCGCAAUAUUUUCAAGUUCUCUACCAGACACGCCUUACCCCCGGCAACGCAUGUUUUGGCCAGGACGGCCGCCACUGGCUAUACGUGCCAGAUAGAUUCG